This is a long non-coding RNA of Miniopterus natalensis, 300 nucleotides long. RefSeq lists it as uncharacterized. Lineage: Eukaryota; Metazoa; Chordata; Mammalia; Chiroptera; Miniopteridae. The record is from RefSeq and is a predicted model, not a curated record.
GAGGCGGGUGCCACUCACCUGAUGCUCCGGCCGCCCGGACGAGGACCCAGCCGAGGAGGAAUGGAAUAUGAUCUUUUUGUCCUCUGGAGCUGAAGGUGAACUGCAUGACCUGAAGGGCUUCUGAUGUGUGACUGUGGGACUGGACCACUGUGAGCCUGCAGCCACCCGCAUGCCUGGAACUGCUCAAAAGGAUCAAUGUCAUCAGGAAACACAACUGCAAAUGCUGUCACUCAGCCAGUUAAAGGAACGAUAAAGAAUAUGCUCCAGCCCUGGCUGGUGUUGCUCAGUGGUUAGAGCAUU